GAUGAACGCUGGCGGCGUGCCUAAUACAUGCAAGUCGAGCGAACGGACGAGAAGCUUGCUUCUCUGAUGUUAGCGGCGGACGGGUGAGUAACACGUGGAUAACCUACCUAUAAGACUGGGAUAACUUCGGGAAACCGGAGCUAAUACCGGAUAAUAUUUUGAACCGCAUGGUUCAAAAGUGAAAGACGGUCUUGCUGUCACUUAUAGAUGGAUCCGCGCUGCAUUAGCUAGUUGGAAAGGUAACGGCUUACCAAGGCAACGAUGCAUAGCCGACCUGAGAGGGUGAUCGGCCACGCUGGAACUGAGACACGGUCCAGACUCCUACGGGAGGCAGCAGUAGGGAAUCUUCCGCAAUGGGCGAAAGCCUGACGGAGCAACGCCGCGUGAGUGAUGAAGGUCUUCGGAUCGUAAAACUCUGUUAUUAGGGAAGAACAUAUGUGUAAGUAACUGUGCACAUCUUGACGGUACCUAAUCAGAAAGCCACGGCUAACUACGUG
This 497-nucleotide ribosomal RNA is filed under the name uncultured bacterium. RNAcentral's name for it is "partial 16S ribosomal RNA". It matches the Rfam family "Bacterial small subunit ribosomal RNA", at positions 28 to 507 of the family's 1533-position model. The record is from RNAcentral.